GACGAACGCUGGCGGCGUGCUUAACACAUGCAAGUCGAACGGAAAGGCCCUGCUUUUGUGGGGUGCUCGAGUGGCGAACGGGUGAGUAACACGUGAGUAACCUGCCCUUGACUUUGGGAUAACUUCAGGAAACUGGGGCUAAUACCGGAUAGGAGCUCCUGCUGCAUGGUGGGGGUUGGAAAGUUUCGGCGGUUGGGGAUGGACUCGCGGCUUAUCAGCUUGUUGGUGGGGUAGUGGCUUACCAAGGCUUUGACGGGUAGCCGGCCUGUGAGGGUGACCGGCCACAUGGGGACUGAGAUACGGCCCAGACUCCUACGGGAGGCAGCAGUGGGGAAUAUUGCACAAUGGGCGGAAGCCUGAUGCAGCAACGCCGCGUGCGGGAUGACGGCCUUCGGGUUGUAAACCGCUUUCGCCUGUGACGAAGCGUGAGUGACGGUAAUGGGUAAAGAAGCACCGGCUAACUACGU
This 467-nucleotide ribosomal RNA is filed under the name uncultured bacterium. RNAcentral's name for it is "partial 16S ribosomal RNA". It matches the Rfam family "Bacterial small subunit ribosomal RNA", at positions 28 to 506 of the family's 1533-position model. The record is from RNAcentral.